Telopea speciosissima is the source of this 403-nucleotide long non-coding RNA. RefSeq lists it as uncharacterized. The transcript is spliced from 3 exons. NCBI's taxonomy places the organism in Eukaryota, Viridiplantae, Streptophyta, Magnoliopsida, Proteales, Proteaceae. The record is from RefSeq and is a predicted model, not a curated record.
AAAUGAAGAUUUUGUUCAUCCAAUAUUCGAUGAGAAGGUUACCAACGUUGAGGACUCUAUGAAUACAACAUUCGCAAUUGAUAUUAAUUCAGAAGUCAAGCACAUAGAGUUUGUUAUGCCACCAUGGUUCUCUAAAGAGAAAGCUCCACAACUUGAAGACUUUAUUCCUAAUGUUUCUGCAUCACCAGAGUUUUGUUUGGAAAUGGUCAAAGUUGUUAUUCAGAUGUUGUUUCCCUCUCAUCACUGCAAAAUUCAAGGACGAAUUUUUUCAUGCUGGAGGGAGUUGAUGCAAAUUCAUCACCGAAAUAGGAUUGUUUUAUUAGGAAUAGCUCUAGGGUUGGGUUAUAUACACGUUGGGCCUUUGAUCCCAUGGGUUUUCUAAGUAAUAGGCCGCUUUUAUGGG